RNAcentral lists this ribosomal RNA (497 nucleotides) under uncultured bacterium. RNAcentral describes it as "partial 16S ribosomal RNA". It matches the Rfam family "Bacterial small subunit ribosomal RNA", at positions 28 to 507 of the family's 1533-position model. The record is from RNAcentral.
GAUGAACGCUGGCGGCGUGCCUAAUACAUGCAAGUCGAGCGAACAGACGAGGAGCUUGCUCCUCUGACGUUAGCGGCGGACGGGUGAGUAACACGUGGAUAACCUACCUAUAAGACUGGGAUAACUUCGGGAAACCGGAGCUAAUACCGGAUAAUAUAUUGAACCGCAUGGUUCAAUAGUGAAAGACGGUUUUGCUGUCACUUAUAGAUGGAUCCGCGCCGCAUUAGCUAGUUGGUAAGGUAACGGCUUACCAAGGCAACGAUGCGUAGCCGACCUGAGAGGGUGAUCGGCCACACUGGAACUGAGACACGGUCCAGACUCCUACGGGAGGCAGCAGUAGGGAAUCUUCCGCAAUGGGCGAAAGCCUGACGGAGCAACGCCGCGUGAGUGCUGAAGGUCUUCGGAUCGUAAAACUCUGUUAUUAGGGAAGAACAAAUGUGUAAGUAACUAUGCACGUCUUGACGGCACCUAAUCAGAAAGCCACGGCUAACUACGUG